GCGGGAGUGCCAGAGCGGCCAAAUGGGCACGGUUCAGAGCCGUGUGGCUUAGUGCCUUCGCAGGUUCAAAUCCUGUCUCCCGCACCA
Molecule: transfer RNA, 87 nt
Filed under: Nanobdellota archaeon
Lineage: Archaea; Nanobdellati; Nanobdellota
Description: tRNA-Leu
Rfam family: tRNA
About the family: Transfer RNA (tRNA) molecules are approximately 80 nucleotides in length. Their secondary structure includes four short double-helical elements and three loops (D, anti-codon, and T loops). Further hydrogen bonds mediate the characteristic L-shaped molecular structure. tRNAs have two regions of fundamental functional importance: the anti-codon, which is responsible for specific mRNA codon recognition, and the 3' end, to which the tRNAs corresponding amino acid is attached (by aminoacyl-tRNA synthetases). tRNAs cope with the degeneracy of the genetic code in two manners: having more than one tRNA (with a specific anti-codon) for a particular amino acid; and 'wobble' base-pairing, i.e. permitting non-standard base-pairing at the 3rd anti-codon position.
Source: RNAcentral